CAGGAUGAACGCUGGCGGCGUGCCUAAUACAUGCAAGUCGAACGAGCGAGAUCCAGCUUGCUGGAUUAGCGAGUGGCGAACGGGUGAGUAAUACGUAAGCAACCUGCCUACACGGACUGGGAUAACACCUGGAAACGGGCGCUAAUACCGGAUAGGUAACGAGAGGGCAUCCUCUUGUUAUUAAAGGUUUGAAACACAAGUAGAUGGGCUUACGGUGCAUUAGCUAGUUGGUGAGGUAACGGCCCACCAAGGCGAUGAUGCAUAGCCGGCCUGAGAGGGUGAACGGCCACAUUGGGACUGAGACACGGCCCAGACUCCUACGGGAGGCAGCAGUAGGGAAUUUUCGGCAAUGGGCGCAAGCCUGACCGAGCAACGCCGCGUGAAGUGAUGAAGGUUUUCGGAUCGUAAAGCUCUGUUGUAAGGGAAGAAUGGCGCGGACAGACUCCGCGAUUGACGGUACCUUACCAGAAAGCCACGGCUAACUACGUGCCAGCAGCCGC
Molecule: ribosomal RNA, 500 nt
Filed under: uncultured bacterium
Lineage: Bacteria
Description: bacterial SSU rRNA
Rfam family: Bacterial small subunit ribosomal RNA
Source: RNAcentral